Suricata suricatta (meerkat) is the source of this 852-nucleotide long non-coding RNA. RefSeq lists it as uncharacterized. The transcript is spliced from 2 exons. The record is from RefSeq and is a predicted model, not a curated record. NCBI's taxonomy places the organism in Eukaryota, Metazoa, Chordata, Mammalia, Carnivora, Herpestidae.
UGAACAGAAGGAAAGAGUGUCACUUUGAAAAAUAUUAAGUAAAGAAGUGGCAAAAAUGCCAAGGACAUGGACAAGACUGUGUAACAAAGGGACCUGCCCUCCUGAGGCUCCCAAGGCAGACACCUAGAUGGUCAAUGGAGCUGUUCUUGUUGCAGAGCGUGGGCAGAGUCUAGUCCAAGGCAAAUCUCGUGCUACCCAGGAGAAGUCACUGAGGAUAACACCAGGACUGUGGAGGGGCAGUGCAAGGUGCUGGUGAGGAAAAGGGGGAAAUGCAGACCAGAUAAUGAAGAACCAGAACAACCCGGAGGCAUCUGUACCCAGCAGAGCAUGAGCCCCGUGGAACCAGGCCCAGGCAAAUAUUAAGAAUUCUCUAAACUGCCUACAGUCUUGAGGUUGCCCUUCUUUUCUUCUGUGUGGAGGUGAAACUGAAAAUCCUAAUUAUUCCAUGAUCAGUGCUUUUGCCAAGAGGAUACCAAGCUUGAUAUCAUCACAUCGGACCGACACCAGGAAUUAGUGCGAUGUGGGCUUGCUGAGCUGCGAGUCAAAGCAGAUUUUACGUAAUGAAGUAAAAGCAAUCAACUAAAAAAGUCUCAUUAAUGCUUCUGUACGUUUUGAGGAAAUGGAAAUGUGACCAAAAUGCACAUUAUGAACUCCUCAAGAUCACAGGUAGGUAAAUCACCUCUCGGUUUUAGCAGUGUUGUACAGAAGAUCUCCAGGACAUCUGACAAAUAAGAUCUUUUCAUUUUCUUUGGUAAGAAACAUAGACUGAAUGGGAUGGGCCAAAAUUUACAUUUGCACUGCCUGCCAAAUAUGCAAAUAAAUAAGAAAAGUCUACUUUAUCUUUGGAUGAAA